RNAcentral lists this ribosomal RNA (462 nucleotides) under uncultured bacterium. RNAcentral's name for it is "bacterial SSU rRNA". It matches the Rfam family "Bacterial small subunit ribosomal RNA", at positions 331 to 792 of the family's 1533-position model. The record is from RNAcentral.
CCAGACUCCUACGGGAGGCAGCAGUGGGGAAUAUUGCACAAUGGGGGAAGCCCUGAUGCAGCGACGCCGCGUGAGUGAAGAAGCGUUUCGGCGCGUAAAGCUCUGUCAGCGGGGAAGAAACACGGUUCGCGAGAGCCGCGGACGGUACCCGACCAAGAAGCCCCGGCUAACUACGUGCCAGCAGCCGCGGUAAUACGUAUGGAGCAAGCGUUAUCCGGAUUUACUGGGUGUAAAGGGAGCGCAGACGGCAGGGCAAGUCUGAUGUGAAAGUCCGGGGCUCAACCCCGGGACUGCAUUGGAAACUGUCCGGCUAGAGUGCAGGAGAGGUAAGUGGAAUUCCUAGUGUAGCGGUGAAAUGCGUAGAUAUUAGGAGGAACACCAGUGGCGAAGGCGGCUUACUGGACUGUAACUGACGUUGAGGCUCGAAAGCGUGGGGAGCAAACAGGAUUAGAUACCCUUGUA